Molecule: ribosomal RNA, 497 nt
Filed under: uncultured bacterium
Lineage: Bacteria
Description: partial 16S ribosomal RNA
Rfam family: Bacterial small subunit ribosomal RNA
Source: RNAcentral
GAUGAACGCUGGCGGCGUGCCUAAUACAUGCAAGUCGAGCGAACAGACGAGGAGCUUGCUCCUCUGACGUUAGCGGCGGACGGGUGAGUAACACGUGGAUAACCUACCUAUAAGACUGGGAUAACUUCGGGAAACCUGAGCUAAUACCGGAUAAUAUAUUGAACCGCAUGGUUCAAUAGUGAAAGACGGUUUUGCUGUCACUUAUAGAUGGAUCCGCGCCGCAUUAGCUAGUUGGUAAGGUAACGGCUUACCAAGGCAACGAUGCGUAGCCGACCUGAGAGGGUGAUCGGCCACACUGGAACUGAGACACGGUCCAGACUCCUACGGGAGGCAGCAGUAGGGAAUCUUCCGCAAUGGGCGAAAGCCUGACGGAGCAACGCCGCGUGAGUGAUGAAGGUCUUCGGAUCGUAAAACUCUGUUAUUAGGGAAGAACAAAUGUGUAAGUAACUAUGCACGUCUUGACGGUACCUAAACAGAAAGCCACGGCUAACUACGUG